UACCUUUUACCGAUAACAUAUCAAUAACACAAGAAUAAAAUAUAAAUACUGUCUGUCGCGACAACAAAAAAAAACCGUCAACACUGAAUCCGGACCUGUUAAAGUUGGUUUUCCCAUAUUUGAUGGGGGUAUUGUUUGCAUCAGAAACAGUGAAGUUGCAGCCAGCUCAAAACCCAAAACAAAACACAACAGGAAGAAAGCAUCAAUCUAACUAAAAAUCCCUGAUGUCUCCACUACUUUUGGCUUUACUUAGCUUGGUCGAACCUCCCUAUUAUGGUUUGUCACUUCACAUGGCUGCAUCCUGUUUUUAUCCAGCUUAGUACCAAGUUGCUGCUGUUCUUCAAACAUCAUUCAUCCUGCCAGCAGCAACAGAUGAACAUAGGAAAACAUAUGCACAAACAACUUGUAUGGAUGAGAGUUCUUGCCGGAAUUCAGAGUUCUCGAGACACACCUCCACCAUCGAUCUACCAACGGUUGAGAUCAGCCUCAUACACUUUUAGAGGAGCAACAACUCCACACUCGGCACGGCGCACUAGCCUUGAAUUUACGAUGACUAAAUCCAUGUUCGUCUGAGACUGUGUCACCUGACAGAUCAGUCAUAUCAGUACUCCGACCCAAAAGCCUAACAAACACUAUUGUUCACUCCAGAGACUCAAUCGAACGGUCCAGAACAAUCGACAUGCAGAAAAUUGCUCCACAAGCUCUAGGCAUUUCAUUAUUACAGAAGAAAAAUGCAAAUCAAAGUCUUCCCUUUUAAUGCAAAACAAGACCUCAGCACCCUUUUGGACCACAUCCCAGAAUUUCAUUGUGUUCCAUCUUUUUUUCCUUAAAGAAACCAAACCGUGCGAGGCAGAUCAUUCAUCACCAAUCAGACCUUUUGUUUCUCUGCCUUUAUUCCCUUUUGCUGAGCUUGACAUGACUGAUGACUCAACUCCACUGAUCUUCAUAAUGCUUAAGCCCCUGGACUUCCUCCUUGAACAUGUAUAUAUAGGCUCUGCCUUUGAAUUCAUUUCAGCACAAACAAACCAAUUCACUCAUAUAAGUGAAGUCUCGAAACUAUGAAGAACUCAUUUCAGAUCACUAUGACGGAAGGCAAUCUGCAAAAAAGUGGCAUUUGGCUACUGGAAUUCAAGAUCGAGUUUCCUCUUUAGAUGAGUUCUGUCGGCACUGCACAACAAAUACAAAAUACCUUCAUCAGCAUUCAAUGUACAAAAAGGACCUUACUAAUGUGCCGCCUUUUCAGACAUAAUCACCUGCUCAAAACUCAAAUUUGGCAUCUAUCUUAAAUCAACCUACCUACAACUCAAAAGAUUGAACAAUAAAAGAUAGCAUAAUACCAUUAUAACUAUCCAGGUAACUGUUCUACCUGUUAAUCGUUGGUCUGCUCACAGGCCUGGUUCCAAAGACUGAAAGAUCUACCGACAUUGGCAAGUCGUUAUUCCUGCCCAAAGUAUCGCCAGUUGUCUGCCUGAUUUCCUCAUGUUCAUCAAUCUUAUCAAGAUGGUUAGCAUUUACAUCAAAGCUUUCGCGUUCAGCCAUCACUCUUCUUGUUUUCCUUGGAGGUGAUAACACAGUUGGACCAUCCUGGGAAUUCAGAUCUGAAACCCUAGUAUUGAGAGAUUGUCCCUUUGGAGCUGGUCUAGGAAGCUUAACUGGCUCUGUAGAUAAAGGGGCAGAAGAAAAGUACCUACCAGAAAAGAAGAUAUUGGUUAGUGCAACCAAGCAACUUAAGACUUAUCUGGUGGGUGAGAGUCUUCUUCCUACCUGUGCUCCAACGCCUGGUGGACUGAAAUCCUAGCGUUUGGAUCAUAAGUAAACAUCUUUGAUAACAAAUCCAGUGCAUCCUCACUAGCCAUUGGAAAUAACUUUCGCAAAGGAUGCUGAGGAACUGUUUGGUACUCCACGUAAUCAGGAAGGUAUACCAAAAAAUAAAUUCCAUCCAAAAAGUCCGUUAGUUUGCCAUGUUAGAUAGCCAAGUCACUACUACAUAUACAUGUGGCAGCGGCCACGUCAUGGUGAGCUCGGUUGGUGAAUAAUAUGAAAGUCAAUCUGAAUAAUGAAUUCUCUCCUAACAAUUAGACUUACGUUAUUGAGAUAUCAUGGUACAUGACAUGGUAAUCAAAGUCCUUAAAGACUAAAAAGGCUUUAUUUUCGAGUCCCGAUAACCCAUAAUCCUUGCAUAUAACAAUGGACACGUGUUAUUUCCGUGCUAUCCACGUAAUUGCAUAGGGGUAAUUAAUUUUUCUUUUUUUAGACCACCUUUUAUUGAUAACAUAUCAAUAACUCACAAAUAAAACACAAAUACAUGUAUGUCGCGAUAACAAUAAAGGCAGCCAGCACCGAAUUCAAACCGCUUUGAUGAGGUAUUGUUUGCAUCAGAAACAGUGAAGUUGCAGCCAGCUCAGAACCCAGAACAAAACACAACAGCAAGAAAGCAUCAAUCUAACCAAAAAUCCCUUUUGUUGUCUCCACUGCUUUUGGCUUUACUUAGCUUGGUCGAACCUCCUAAUUAUGGUUUGUCACUUCACAUGGCUGCAUCCUGUUCUUAUCCAGCUUAGUACGUUGUAGUAAUGCCC
RNAcentral lists this long non-coding RNA (2576 nucleotides) under Linum usitatissimum (flax). Its description in RNAcentral is "long non-coding RNA (LUSI_LNC007082)". Lineage: Eukaryota; Viridiplantae; Streptophyta; Magnoliopsida; Malpighiales; Linaceae. The record is from RNAcentral.